CAAGAAACUCCAGUUGUAUAAAUAUUACUGAUAAUAUUUCUUUCAUGUUCACUCAGGUGCAUUCAGAGUAAAGCGACAGAGGAAGAGCAAGAACUUGAGGAUGCCGGCAGGGCAGGGAGAGCAGGUGACAUGGAGAUAAUACAAUCAAGCAGGGAGAGUGAGUUUCAGACAGUGACACAGAGAGAAAGAGAGCAAACAGGCAGGCAAAGAUGAAGAUAGGACUUGCCGUGCCUGGCUAAUAACUGGAAGGGAAAAGCAGGAGUCUGCCAGCAGCAGCGGAAAUUUUUAAUGGGCCUGAACUAUAUCAGGAUCCUGAUUCACACUCUCACAGUCAGG
Micropterus dolomieu (smallmouth bass) is the source of this 336-nucleotide long non-coding RNA. RefSeq lists it as uncharacterized. The record is from RefSeq and is a predicted model, not a curated record. The transcript has 3 exons. Lineage: Eukaryota; Metazoa; Chordata; Actinopteri; Centrarchiformes; Centrarchidae.